CUUCGGGUCGUAAAGCUCUGUCGAGGGGAAAGAAGUGUAUUGUGGCUAAUAUCCACGAUACUUGACGGUACCCCUAAAGGAAGCACCGGCUAACUCCGUGC
RNAcentral lists this ribosomal RNA (101 nucleotides) under uncultured bacterium. RNAcentral describes it as "partial 16S ribosomal RNA". The record is from RNAcentral.